RNAcentral lists this long non-coding RNA (282 nucleotides) under Homo sapiens (human). RNAcentral's name for it is "HSALNT0324594". Lineage: Eukaryota; Metazoa; Chordata; Mammalia; Primates; Hominidae. The record is from RNAcentral.
UGCAUACGAUCCAAGAAGACAUUCUCUUCAGUAGCAAAUUCAUCAUGGUCAGAGGUUCUUUUAGGAUUGUCCGUAGUUGAUUGCAAAUUUGAGAAUAUGGAAUGAAGAUAAUAUGUACCGUACACAACUUAUGGGAAAUGUAAACCCACAACAUGGUACAUUUGCUGUGAAGUCGGUCUGGAUCACUUUCAAGGACUCAGAGAAUAUAUCCCACAGAACAAGACCGAAAAAAAAUGGUGAUUCUCCAAAGGCCACCAGUGAAGCAGUGAUGGAAGUUUGUAG